This 399-nucleotide ribosomal RNA is filed under the name Shigella sonnei. RNAcentral describes it as "bacterial SSU rRNA". It matches the Rfam family "Bacterial small subunit ribosomal RNA", at positions 1 to 396 of the family's 1533-position model. The record is from RNAcentral. Lineage: Bacteria; Pseudomonadati; Pseudomonadota; Gammaproteobacteria; Enterobacterales; Enterobacteriaceae.
AAAUUGAAGAGUUUGAUCAUGGCUCAGAUUGAACGCUGGCGGCAGGCCUAACACAUGCAAGUCGAACGGUAACAGGAAACAGCUUGCUGUUUCGCUGACGAGUGGCGGACGGGUGAGUAAUGUCUGGGAAACUGCCUGAUGGAGGGGGAUAACUACUGGAAACGGUAGCUAAUACCGCAUAAUGUCGCAAGACUAAAGAGGGGGACCUUCGGGCCUCUUGCCAUCGGAUGUGCCCAGAUGGGAUUAGCUAGUAGGUGGGGUAACGGCUCACCUAGGCGACGAUCCCUAGCUGGUCUGAGAGGAUGACCAGCCACACUGGAACUGAGACACGGUCCAGACUCCUACGGGAGGCAGCAGUGGGGAAUAUUGCACAAUGGGCGCAAGCCUGAUGCAGCCAUG